CCAAACAAAAGAUAAAAAAAAACCAAUCAGAUGUUUCAAACAUUAAAUGUGUCAGGUUCUGUUCAGGUUGACCCAUCUCCAGGUCCGUCUAACAGUCCAGAACUGGACCUUCAGCUUUCAGUUCACACCGAGGUCUGACCUCCUGACCUGGUUAAAGACCUCAGGAACUCCUGGAGGAAAAGGUUCUGAUGGACGACAUGAAACCUGCAGGAGAUCAGAACCGGUCCAGAACUGCAGUCCAGGUCCAAGUCUGGUCUCAACAUCCCAAAGGGUCACUGGUCCCCAGAUCCAGCAGACUGUGGGAGAGGUGGGGGCACUCUGGACAUGAUUAUUUGUUUGAUUUAUACGUCU
Molecule: long non-coding RNA, 351 nt
Organism: Austrofundulus limnaeus
Lineage: Eukaryota; Metazoa; Chordata; Actinopteri; Cyprinodontiformes; Rivulidae
Exons: 3
Source: RefSeq, a predicted model, not a curated record